This 501-nucleotide ribosomal RNA is filed under the name uncultured bacterium. RNAcentral's name for it is "partial 16S ribosomal RNA". It matches the Rfam family "Bacterial small subunit ribosomal RNA", at positions 30 to 523 of the family's 1533-position model. The record is from RNAcentral.
AUUGAACGCUGGCGGCAUGCCUUACACAUGCAAGUCGAACGGCAGCACGGGUGCUUGCACCUGGUGGCGAGUGGCGAACGGGUGAGUAAUACAUCGGAACGUACCUUAUUGUGGGGGAUAACGCAGCGAAAGCUGUGCUAAUACCGCUUACGCCCUGGGGGGGAAAGCGGGGGAUCGAAAGACCUCGCGCGACUAGAGCGGCCGAUGCCUGAUUAGCUUGUUGGUGGGGUAAAAGCCCACCAAGGCGACGAUCAGUAGCUGGUCUGAGAGGACGAUCAGCCACACUGGGACUGAGACACGGCCCAGACUCCUACGGGAGGCAGCAGUGGGGAAUUUUGGACAAUGGGGGCAACCCUGAUCCAGCAAUGCCGCGUGAGUGAAGAAGGCCUUCGGGUUGUAAAGCUCUUUUGUCAGGGAAGAAACACCGGCUCUAACACAGUCCGGGAAUGACGGUACCUGAAGAAUAAGCACCGGCUAACUACGUGCCAGCAGCCGCCGUAA